UGCGCAGGCGGAACUAUGAGUCAGUGGUGAAAUCCUGUGGCUCAACCACAGAACUGCCAUUGAUACUGUUAUUCUUGAAUAUAGUUGAGGUAGGCGGAAUGUGUAAUGUAGCGGUGAAAUGCUUAGAUAUUACACAGAACACCGAUUGCGAAGGCAGCUUGCUAAACUAUUAUUGACGCUGAGGCACGAAAGCGUGGGUAGCGAACAGGAUUAGAUACCCUGGUAGUCC
This 229-nucleotide ribosomal RNA is filed under the name uncultured bacterium. Its description in RNAcentral is "partial 16S ribosomal RNA". It matches the Rfam family "Bacterial small subunit ribosomal RNA", at positions 568 to 796 of the family's 1533-position model. The record is from RNAcentral.